Long non-coding RNA from Motacilla alba alba, 577 nucleotides. RefSeq lists it as uncharacterized. Lineage: Eukaryota; Metazoa; Chordata; Aves; Passeriformes; Motacillidae. The transcript has 2 exons. The record is from RefSeq and is a predicted model, not a curated record.
UUGGGGUUUUUUGUUAUUUGUUUUGGGUUUUUUGGGGGGGGUUGAGGGUUUUUGGGGGAUUUUUUUUGUUUUUGCUAGUAGUUUUGGGUUUUUUUCUUUCUUUACUUAAAAAGAGAAAUUGCUAGGGAAAAGGGAAACGUAAGUAAAUUAUUCAAGUACUGCUUGGUAAAUGGCACUUUUUCUCCUCUGUCAGCAGUUCUGGCUGGAAUUCACAUGUGUUCUCACAAAUCCUCCACUGACUGACAAAUGUAUUUUCAGCCCAUCACUUUGGAUCUGAGCUCUGCACUGGAAGGCAUUGGAAAGUGACUCCCGUGCUGCUGUGGAGAGAUUGGAAUUGGCCCUCCAGAGGCUGUCCAUCAAAGUCAGUCAUUGAAGGGAGGCUAAUUUGAGGCAGCGUGGUGUAAGCAGAGGGUAGUGGCAAGAACUUUAAGUGGUAGAUUAAAUAAAAAUGGAGAGUUUGAAAAUGGAUUUGUACAAUGAACCAGAGCUUGUGUUGAGUACUGAAUUCCAGUAUUAAGGUUGCUGCACGGAUCAUACACCACAUCUUAUUAAAUAUUUUGAGUGUGGUUUUGACCAA